GACGAACGCUGGCGGCGUGCUUAACACAUGCAAGUCGAACGGAAAGGCCCUGCUUUUGUGGGGUGCUCGAGUGGCGAACGGGUGAGUAACACGUGAGUAACCUGCCCUUGACUUUGGGAUAACUUCAGGAAACUGGGGCUAAUACCGGAUAGGAGCUCCUGCUGCAUGGUGGGGGUUGGAAAGUUUCGGCGGUUGGGGAUGGACUCGCGGCUUAUCAGCUUGUUGGUGGGGUAGUGGCUUACCAAGGCUUUGACGGGUAGCCGGCCUGAGAGGGUGACCGGCCACAUUGGGACUGAGAUACGGCCCAGACUCCUACGGGAGGCAGCAGUGGGGAAUAUUGCACAAUGGGCGGAAGCCUGAUGCUACAACGCCGUGGGCGGGAAGACGGGCUUCGGGUUGUAAACCGCUUUCGCUCAUGACGAAGCUUUGUGUGACGGUAGUGGGUAAAGAAGCACCGGCUAACUACGUG
This 469-nucleotide ribosomal RNA is filed under the name uncultured bacterium. RNAcentral describes it as "partial 16S ribosomal RNA". It matches the Rfam family "Bacterial small subunit ribosomal RNA", at positions 28 to 507 of the family's 1533-position model. The record is from RNAcentral.